CCCACCUGAACCCAUGCCGAACUCAGUAGUGAAACGUAACAGCGCCGAUGGUAGUGUGGGGCUUCCCCAUGUGAGAGUAGGACAUCGCCAGGC
RNAcentral lists this ribosomal RNA (93 nucleotides) under Enterovibrio norvegicus DSM 15893. Lineage: Bacteria; Pseudomonadati; Pseudomonadota; Gammaproteobacteria; Vibrionales; Vibrionaceae. The record is from RNAcentral.